RNAcentral lists this ribosomal RNA (465 nucleotides) under uncultured Klebsiella sp. RNAcentral describes it as "bacterial SSU rRNA". It matches the Rfam family "Bacterial small subunit ribosomal RNA", at positions 338 to 795 of the family's 1533-position model. The record is from RNAcentral. Lineage: Bacteria; Pseudomonadati; Pseudomonadota; Gammaproteobacteria; Enterobacterales; Enterobacteriaceae.
CCUACGGGGGGCUGCAGUGGGGAAUAUUGCACAAUGGGCGCAAGCCUGAUGCAGCCAUGCCGCGUGUGUGAAGAAGGCCUUCGGGUUGUAAAGCACUUUCAGCGGGGAAGAAGGCGUUAAGGUUAAUAACCUUGGCGAUUGACGUUACCCGCAGAAGAAGCACCGGCUAACUCCGUGCCAGCAGCCGCGGUAAUACGGAGGGUGCAAGCGUUAAUCGGAAUUACUGGGCGUAAAGCGCACGCAGGCGGUCUGUCAAGUCGGAUGUGAAAUCCCCGGGCUCAACCUGGGAACUGCAUUCGAAACUGGCAGGCUAGAGUCUUGUAGAGGGGGGUAGAAUUCCAGGUGUAGCGGUGAAAUGCGUAGAGAUCUGGAGGAAUACCGGUGGCGAAGGCGGCCCCCUGGACAAAGACUGACGCUCAGGUGCGAAAGCGUGGGGAGCAAACAGGAUUAGAUACCCCGGUAGUC